This 448-nucleotide ribosomal RNA is filed under the name uncultured bacterium. Its description in RNAcentral is "partial 16S ribosomal RNA". It matches the Rfam family "Bacterial small subunit ribosomal RNA", at positions 329 to 794 of the family's 1533-position model. The record is from RNAcentral.
UUCCAGACUCCUACGGGAGGCAGCAGUGGGGAAUAUUGCACAAUGGGGGAAACCCUGAUGCAGCGACGCCGCGUGAGUGAAGAAGUAUUUCGGUAUGUAAAGCUCUAUCAGCAGGAAAGAAAAUGACGGUACCUGACUAAGAAGCCCCGGCUAACUACGUGCCAGCAGCCGCGGUAAUACGUAGGGGGCAAGCGUUAUCCGGAUUUACUGGGUGUAAAGGGAGCGUAGACGGUGAAGCAAGUCUGAAGUGAAAGGCGGGGGCUCAACCCCCGGACUGCUUUGGAAACUGUUUGACUGGAGUGCAGGAGAGGUAAGUGGAAUUCCUAGUGUAGCGGUGAAAUGCGUAGAUAUUAGGAGGAACACCGGUGGCGAAGGCGGCCUGCUGGACUGCAACUGACGUUGAGGCCCGAAAGCGUGGGGAGCAACCAGGAUUAGAUACCCCCGUACA